This 1013-nucleotide long non-coding RNA is filed under the name Daphnia magna. Its description in RNAcentral is "uncharacterized LOC116936343, transcript variant X3". The record is from RNAcentral. Lineage: Eukaryota; Metazoa; Arthropoda; Branchiopoda; Diplostraca; Daphniidae.
AUUUUGACAUUUGUGCCCCCCGGCUGCCGGGGGAAAAUAGAUUUUACCUUUUAUUUUUAUGCAGUGAUCUGAAACUGAUGAUCUGGAACUUCUGAGUUCAAAGCAUUUCUCAUUGUAUUAAUCCAGCAUAUUCAGUUAAAGUUCUCAAUUUAGCAAACAAAUGCAAGGCAACAUCGCAGGAAAGCCCAUGUUUCUGAAGUAUAUCCGUAUCCGACGCCAUUAUGAAUGUUGGAUUUCUCAUUUCUCCGAGAAUGUUGUUCAGGACUUCAGGUCAUGGAAAUUGGUAGACAAAAGAUGAAAUAUGAAAUGGUCUGAAGCUGAACAUGGUUAAGGUAAGCAUGCUACGCAAACUGGAGGUGCGAAAGGCAGUGGAACGGUGCUCGGAAGGUGACGGAGGACAGGAUGACUGUGAAAUUGUACAGUACGAUGAGUAACCAGUUUACGGGAAGGUUUAGAUUUUUCCCUAUCGCGUAGCUCCGAUCCAUUAUGCGCUAAGUUGGCGUUAAUCUUACUUGUUUUAGAGGAAAUGGCAUGCAGAAUGUUGCGGAGGAAUUUGACCAAAAGGAUGCAUAAGAUAGUAUAGAAUCUUCACUCUCACGGAGAAACAGCGAAUUAAUUGCGUUGAUGAAUUAACGAUUUGCCAUGACUGCUAAUUAACGAAAGAAUUGUUUGCAGAUGAUAGUAAAUUACUGAUGAAGCUUCACGAUUCUCAACUACUCAACACAUGCUGCGAUGGAAGACCACACUGAGGGAAGAAAGAGCUCUCCAUCAGUGAGAGGAGAUGAUUUGGACUUGGUGGAAUACCUGAAGUCUUCAGCAGUCGCGCCGGCAUCUGUGUUUCUGCUUUCGUUCCAGCACAUUUCUAUGUCGGUAGCAUGUUGGGCGUAACAAUGGAAAAUCAAGUAUGCUGAUCUGAAGAAAACAAACAAAAGCGAGGUCGCAGAUUUCAUUUGGUAGGAGCUUGGUAUUCAGCGGUGUUUACUUAGAGUAAAAUACACGACUUUGCUAGAGAG